RNAcentral lists this transfer RNA (77 nucleotides) under Candidatus Portiera aleyrodidarum (primary endosymbiont of Bemisia tabaci). RNAcentral describes it as "tRNA-Arg". It matches the Rfam family "tRNA". Rfam says of the family: Transfer RNA (tRNA) molecules are approximately 80 nucleotides in length. Their secondary structure includes four short double-helical elements and three loops (D, anti-codon, and T loops). Further hydrogen bonds mediate the characteristic L-shaped molecular structure. tRNAs have two regions of fundamental functional importance: the anti-codon, which is responsible for specific mRNA codon recognition, and the 3' end, to which the tRNAs corresponding amino acid is attached (by aminoacyl-tRNA synthetases). tRNAs cope with the degeneracy of the genetic code in two manners: having more than one tRNA (with a specific anti-codon) for a particular amino acid; and 'wobble' base-pairing, i.e. permitting non-standard base-pairing at the 3rd anti-codon position. The record is from RNAcentral. Lineage: Bacteria; Pseudomonadati; Pseudomonadota; Gammaproteobacteria; Johnevansiales (SeqCode); Johnevansiaceae (SeqCode).
UACGUCUGUAGCUCAAUUGGAUAGAGCUUUACCUUCCGACGGUAAAGGUUAUGGGUUCAAAUCCCUUCAGACGUAAC